GUGUCGGACCCCGGCCACGCCCCCGCGGGCGCUCCCACCCCGCCCUGGCCUUCGCCCCUCCCCGCUCCUGCUUCUGUCGCUCCCACAACCUCCCUCAGAUCCUGGCCCUGCCUCCUUCGUUCGCACCCUGGAGCCCCCUGUCCCAGCUCCCGCCACCCCCUGUAACGUCCCCUCCCAGAGCCCUUUUGGAUGGCCUCGCGCUCAACACGCACCUCCGCGACCUGCACCUGGACCUCAGCGCUUGCGAGCUGCGCUCGGCCGGCGCCCAGGUGAUACAAGACUUAGUGUGCGACGCAGGCGCUGUGAGCUCCCUGGAUCUGGCGGAUAACGGCUUCGGCUCUGACAUGGUGACUCUGGUGCUGGCCAUCGGGAGAAGCCGGUCCCUGAGACAUGUGGCGCUUGGAAGGAACUUCAACGUCCGGUGCAAGGAGACCCUGGACGACGUCCUGCACCGGAUUGUCCAGCUCAUGCAGGACGAUGAUUGUCCUCUUCAGUCUCUGUCGGUGGCUGAGUCUCGGCUGAAGCUGGGCGCUAGCGUCCUACUCCGGGCCCUAGCCACCAAUCCUAACCUGACCGCGCUGGAUAUCAGCGGCAACGCCAUGGGGGACGCGGGCGCCAAGUUGCUGGCCAAGGCGCUGCGGGUCAACUCGAGGCUCCGGUCUGUGGUCUGGGACCGGAACCACACAUCUGCUCUGGGUCUGCUGGACGUGGCGCAGGCGCUGGAGCAGAACCACAGCCUGAAGGCCAUGCCUCUGCCACUGAACGAUGUGGCCCAGGCGCAGCGCAGCCGCCCGGAACUGACAGCACGUGCGGUCCAUCAGGUGGGCGUCCCCCUCUUCCCCUGCCCUUCUCUGCACCGUAGCUCCGUCCCUUGGCAUUUCUCAAUACCCCUUUCCCCUAGAUCCAAGCCUGUCUCUUGAGGAACAACCGCACAGACCCUGCCUCUUCUGACCACACGACCCGCCUUCAGCCA
RNAcentral lists this small RNA (973 nucleotides) under Pongo abelii (Sumatran orangutan). RNAcentral describes it as "retained intron". Lineage: Eukaryota; Metazoa; Chordata; Mammalia; Primates; Hominidae. The record is from RNAcentral.